CCACGCACACUCCCUCUGCAACCCAUUUUCCCUCUUGAGCAGCCCAAACAAGAGAAAAAGGACACGAAUGUACACAACGCAGCGACGCGUUCCCGGGUCGCCGGGUACCAGAGGUGUACAGCCGGCCCCUCCACCAACUCACACACCAAAUGUCGCCGACCCAGGUAAGGCGACGACUGCGGCAUGCAGGGGGGACAGGUGAGGUAAAAAACAAAAUAGAAAGACAGGCAAUCUACGUUCGGCCCGACCGGAGGUAGGCGGGCGAAAGGAUGAGCGGAACGUACAAAGACGGUGACGGACACCCAGACCCAUGUACGCACAAGAACAAGCAUACCACCCGACCAACGAAGGACACACCGAUUUUAUUACUCGUACGGAAUGACAAGGAGGGAGCGACGGGGAAAACAACGGUUCUGCCGGACCAAUCGGGAGCAGGAGGAAGGUGAGAGCGAGAGUGAGGGGCGGAGCGAGCGAGCCGGACGUCGAGAAUCUCGGCAGAGGCAGGUGGCGCUUGCCAACACAAACCUCAAGAAGCAGUACCGACACGAAGGAAGCGGAGAGCGCAUGUCAACUCCCAGUAUGUCGGACGACAAAUUGCGAGCCGGACGACGAGCCCCUCCAAAGGGCUGCAGGCGCACUAAGUGACCGUUCCCUAGAUUUGACUGACUACAACUACGACUACGAAGACGGUGGCGUGGACGAUUCUGGCACCUGUGACGCCAACGACUCUGUUCCGCCGACGACAACGACGGUUCUUGCAAAAUCGUUUUUUCGAUUUCAUCGCCGACUAGCUGCGAAACCCUACUCGCACGUACAGACCGACAAAACAUAUAUCUUCCAGAGACGGAACCGGGAGCGGCGGAACCCGAGCGAUGAAACCGCGACCGAUGAUUGCGGAGGCGGGCGUUCCUGUUCACUUGGGACUUAGUGGCAGCAACAGAAGUCCGUGGAGAGAAACGUGGGAAGACCUGUACGAUGAUGCAACGUACGCACAAACGUUUGGGUCAGAAACUGCGAGUAUGUCGGGACAGUUUCAAGUCAACUAUGUGAAGGGAUAAAUUCUACGCUUGAUUCGAUGAAAGUACAGAACAUUUAUAACAGCAACCGGAAAGGACGAAAGGGAACGGAGGAGUUACUGGUAAAGAUAGGUAACAUUUAUAAGCAAGCCGGUACGAUGGAUUAUAUACAUAAUAAUCGUCACGUUACAAUAAAGAAGACUUCUAAUACGUACACACGAUAAGAGUCCCAAACGAGUUAAUACCAAAACCCAAGAACGGUCACCGAUAUGGCAUGUGCGGGAAACUCGUAAUAGAAGUCGGAGGAUACGUCGGAUUAAUGGUACACUUCGAGAUAUACAUAUCGAAGUGGGAUUCGCGUACUAAAGAAAACCGUAGUCUGUUAGACGAAUAGUACAACUUGCGUAAUAUACUUCGAGACACAAGUAUCGAAGUAGAUUCCUGGUUGAACGAAAACCUUGACGAGAGAUUAGUGAUACAUAUAUAAACCUUGGAGACUACAAGUAGAAUCUGGGUAUAUUAUAGAUAGGCAUGGUGAAUUACGUUUAUAAAAGGAUACAAAUCAAGUAUGAUAAAGAUGAAGACAUUGACGUGAUGUCUUCUUUAUGUAAAUAUAAAGAGACAUAUAUUAGUAGUCGUGUAUGGGAUAUUCUGUACUUUUAUUUUAGAUACGAAGUAUUCUAGGUUGAAAUUGUAACAACAACAUAGACGGUAGUCUAGUUUGUAAUGUAAGAAAAGUGAAGUUUGGUUAAAUUGAAGUUGUGACUAGAGUCGUACAAAGUAGACUACGGAUUUAUUUUA
RNAcentral lists this ribosomal RNA (1817 nucleotides) under Triticum aestivum (bread wheat). RNAcentral describes it as "partial small subunit ribosomal RNA". Lineage: Eukaryota; Viridiplantae; Streptophyta; Magnoliopsida; Poales; Poaceae. The record is from RNAcentral.